UCUCUUACUCUCAAACUGAGAUAUUUGUAUAGUGGAAGCCAUGGACGUGCUUUUGCUCUCUUCACCACCAACCCCACACUUAUCUUCCUCUCUCAGACCCUCUCUUCGUUCCUCUAAACCCUCUCCUCUUCCUUUCACUUUCAAUCCAGUCUCUUCUCCCCUCAAAUGUUUCCCAUCUCUCAAAACCUCCCUUCAAUCUUCUCAAACCCUAACUCCUCAAUUCUCGGCUCCCCAGACACCCGCGACCGCCAUGAGGGGAGCGGAGACCGAUGCCAUGGGGCUUUUG
This 286-nucleotide long non-coding RNA is filed under the name Manihot esculenta (cassava). RNAcentral describes it as "long non-coding RNA (MESC_LNC010020)". The record is from RNAcentral. Lineage: Eukaryota; Viridiplantae; Streptophyta; Magnoliopsida; Malpighiales; Euphorbiaceae.